This 378-nucleotide ribosomal RNA is filed under the name uncultured Rhodoferax sp. RNAcentral's name for it is "bacterial SSU rRNA". It matches the Rfam family "Bacterial small subunit ribosomal RNA", at positions 1002 to 1382 of the family's 1533-position model. The record is from RNAcentral. Lineage: Bacteria; Pseudomonadati; Pseudomonadota; Betaproteobacteria; Burkholderiales; Comamonadaceae.
AGAUAGAGGGGUGCUCGAAAGAGAGCCGUAACACAGGUGCUGCAUGGCUGUCGUCAGCUCGUGUCGUGAGAUGUUGGGUUAAGUCCCGCAACGAGCGCAACCCUUGUCAUUAGUUGCUAUAUUCAGUUGGGCACUCUAAUGAGACUGCCGGUGACAAGCCGGAGGAAGGUGGGGAUGACGUCAAGUCCUCAUGGCCCUUAUAGGUGGGGCUACACACGUCAUACAAUGGCUGGUACAAAGGGUUGCCAACCCGCGAGGGGGAGCCAAUCCCAUAAAGCCAGUCGUAGUCCGGAUCGUAGUCUGCAACUCGACUACGUGAAGUCGGAAUCGCUAGUAAUCGUGGAUCAGAAUGUCACGGUGAAUACGUUCCCGGGUCUU